This 484-nucleotide ribosomal RNA is filed under the name uncultured bacterium. RNAcentral's name for it is "bacterial SSU rRNA". It matches the Rfam family "Bacterial small subunit ribosomal RNA", at positions 30 to 507 of the family's 1533-position model. The record is from RNAcentral.
AUUGAACGCUGGCGGCAUGCCUUACACAUGCAAGUCGAACGGCAGCACGGGAGCAAUCCUGGUGGCGAGUGGCGAACGGGUGAGUAAUAUAUCGGAACGUGCCCAGUCGUGGGGGAUAACGUAGCGAAAGCUACGCUAAUACCGCAUACGAUCUACGGAUGAAAGCGGGGGAUCGCAAGACCUCGCGCGAUUGGAGCGGCCGAUAUCAGAUUAGCUAGUUGGUGGGGUAAAAGCUCACCAAGGCGACGAUCUGUAGCUGGUCUGAGAGGACGACCAGCCACACUGGAACUGAGACACGGUCCAGACUCCUACGGGAGGCAGCAGUGGGGAAUUUUGGACAAUGGGCGCAAGCCUGAUCCAGCAAUGCCGCGUGCAGGAUGAAGGCCUUCGGGUUGUAAACUGCUUUUGUACGGAACGAAAAGGCUCUGGUUAAUACCUGGGGCUCAUGACGGUACCGUAAGAAUAAGCACCGGCUAACUACGUG